Molecule: long non-coding RNA, 727 nt
Filed under: Androctonus crassicauda
Lineage: Eukaryota; Metazoa; Arthropoda; Arachnida; Scorpiones; Buthidae
Source: RNAcentral
CACGCAAAAAAGGUCUAUGUGUAAGAAGGAAUGUAUUACUAUACCCUAGAGUGGGUUUAUAAUUUUAGAACUACGCCCUGUGAUGGGCUUAUAAUAAUUACAUGUUUAGUGUUAUCUGUAUUAAACUUUAUUAUGCAUGUUGAAAAGGUGUUGGCUCUAGAUUUUAUUCUUUUAUUUUUAUUCAUUCAGGCAAAAAGGUCUCUAGGUAAGCCAGUCUGUAAAGAAAAUAUGUGUUUUCAUCCAUUCAACUUUCACUUUCACUCUAAGAGACAAAGAAAAAUAGUAAAAUAGAAAAGUGUGUUGGUUAGUAGGAACCAAACCUAACCUUUUUUUGACAUAUUCAAGACCUAUUGACAGAAAGAUAGGAUAGGAUUGAUUAUGUCAUCGAGAGGAGGUAGCCAAGUAAUUUUGAAUAUUUUAAUAUUUGAAAGGUAAAUUUAUUAGGAAGAUUUAUCGAAAGGUGGGGAGUGCACAAACUGCAAUUAGGGGGGAUAUGGCUAUGUUUAUUAUUAUUUCACAAUUUAUAAAAAUAUCCCAACGAAGCCACAAAGAGAGUAACACACAAAAUUAGUAAAGAAGUUAGAUAUGAUUAAUUACCGUGUUAAUAAGUAGUCUGAAUUGUUGAGGUUGAUAUGGACCAGCUAACUGUGAUAAAAAUAAGUUAGUUUGACGAUGUGAUGUAUGUAUAGAAAAGUGAGGAAAGUAUGUGUUAUUAAAUAGAAUAGUC